GACGAACGCUAGCGGCGUGCCUAAUACAUGCAAGUCGAGCGGACGUUUUUGAAGCUUGCUUUAAAAACGUUAGCGGCGGACGGGUGAGUAACACGUGGGCAACCUACCUUAUCGACUGGGAUAACUCCGGGAAACCGGGGCUAAUACCGGAUAACAUCUAGCACCUCCUGGUGCCGGAUUGAAAGAGGGCUUCUUGCUCUCAGGAUAAGAUGGGCCCGCGGCGCAUUAGCUAGUUGGAGAGGUAAUGGCUCCCCAAGGCGACGAUGCGUAGCCGACCUGAGAGGGUGAUCGGCCACACUGGGACUGAGACACGGCCCAGACUCCUACGGGAGGCAGCAGUAGGGAAUCUUCCGCAAUGGACGAAAGUCUGACGGAGCAACGCCGCGUGAGUGAUGAAGGGUUUCGGCUCGUAAAGCUCUGUUAUGAGGGAAGAACACGUACCGUUCGAAUAGGGCGGUACCUUGACGGUACCUCAUCAGAAAGCCACGGCUAACUACGUGCCAGCCGCCGCAGUAA
This 516-nucleotide ribosomal RNA is filed under the name uncultured bacterium. RNAcentral's name for it is "partial 16S ribosomal RNA". It matches the Rfam family "Bacterial small subunit ribosomal RNA", at positions 28 to 523 of the family's 1533-position model. The record is from RNAcentral.